Molecule: ribosomal RNA, 208 nt
Filed under: uncultured bacterium
Lineage: Bacteria
Description: partial 16S ribosomal RNA
Rfam family: Bacterial small subunit ribosomal RNA
Source: RNAcentral
UCGGAUUGUAGUCUGCAACCCGACUACAUGAAGCUGGAAUCGCUAGUAAUCGCGAAUCAGAAUGUCGCGGUGAAUACGUUCCCGGGUCUUGUACACACCGCCCGUCACACCAUGGGAGUCGGAAAUGCCCGAAGUCAGUGACCCAACCGUAAGGAGGGAGCUGCCGAAGGUGGAGCCGGUAACUGGGGUGAAGUCGUAACAAGGUAGC